Molecule: non-coding RNA, 807 nt
Organism: Artibeus jamaicensis (Jamaican fruit-eating bat)
Lineage: Eukaryota; Metazoa; Chordata; Mammalia; Chiroptera; Phyllostomidae
Source: the annotation of a RefSeq genome assembly
UUGCACUUUUUACAGUUUCUAGUCCUGUCUUUUUUUAGCAGGUAAUUUAUUUUCAUUGUGUUUUUACCAAAGUACUAGUUCCAGGUGGAUUGAGGACCAAAAUAACAGUAACAACAACGUUUCCUUGGCUGGAACCCUUUGCCGCAGAGCAAUUCAGUCACGUGACUGUCAGGGCCGCCCAACUUCUCUUGUUUCCUUCCCUGCCGCCUCCCUCUGGUCAGAGGCCCCCAGGUGGUCUCCGAGGUUUCAGGACCCCAGUCUUACUCCGUAUCCUCGGCUUUGAUGUGAAAAGACGAUGAUCUAUACUGUGGGCAUUAGCCUUUUGCUUUUCUACGAGGGCAUGCUGUGUGAAAAAGUGACCCAGAGUUCCCCAGGCAAUACUGUGGAAAGUGGCAGUCAGGUGACACUGCCCUGUACUUAUGACUCCAGAUACACAGAUCCAGAUUUAUACUGGUACCGCAUGAGGCCAGAUCGUUCCUUUCAGUUUAUCCUUUACAGGGAUAACAUUAGGGUCCUCGAUGCGGAUUUUACUCAGGGUCGGUUUUCUGUGCAGCGCAGUGAGACCCACAAAACCUUCAACUUGGUGAUCUCCUCAGUGAGGACUGAAGACAGAGCCACUUACUACUGUGCCAUAAAUCUCCACGGUGAUGCAGGUGCCCAGGAAGUCUGCACAUAAACCCCUGGGCGUGGCCUGGCAGAGCCGCCUCGUGUCCCUGGACAUGGCAGCCUUCUUCCUGGUGACACUGUGUUCCACCUGGCCUUCAGAGGUGCUCUAACAUGUCUGCUAAAUAAUAAAAUGCCCGUCCU